CUCUAUUCUAUGCUCUCUAUAGAAUUCAUGAAGUCGAGCACCACUGAACUAUCUGUCGUUGUCCGUAAUUAGUACUUUGAAAAGAUCAUAGCGGUUGAUGAUGGAUUUUCAGAUAAAAUCCUUUACUCUUGCCUUGAUUAUACGGACUAGAGGCUCGACUUUGAUUCAUUUUAUAAAAUAGUCGAUGGCCACCACAAAAAAUUUGUGCUGACCUGAUAUGAGAGGAAAAAGGCCAAGGAUAUCCAUCCCCCACUGAGCAAAUGGCCACAGGGCACUGAUGGAAGUCAAAAGUGUUGCUGGCUAUUGCUGAAUGUUGGAAAUUCUAUGGCAC
RNAcentral lists this long non-coding RNA (331 nucleotides) under Elaeis guineensis (African oil palm). RNAcentral describes it as "long non-coding RNA (EGUI_LNC039307)". Lineage: Eukaryota; Viridiplantae; Streptophyta; Magnoliopsida; Arecales; Arecaceae. The record is from RNAcentral.